UUUUUUUUAAAGGAGGGGCAUGAAGUGUUAAAUCGGCGUGGGGUCCGGGGCCAAAGGGCCCCGGAAAAAAAUUGAACUAUAAGAUGCUUUAUGGUACAUUCUGAGGCAUUUCUGAAUGCGUAAACUGAACAUUUAUUUGAAAAUUCUUUGCUUUUUUUGGAAGGAAAAGGGGGCAUUAAAACCCCGACGCUCCCCAUGGGUCCGGCCUAGCUGGCAGGGCUAGCUAGCCCGACCCGGCAAGGCUAGCUCUCUGCAGUACGCCCAGGACUGGCGUCGACCGCCGGCGUCCCCGCUAGACCCGCAGAGCUCGCAUACCUGCGGCUAGCAUCAGAUACAGUUUCAGCUGGUCGGCGCAGCUAGCCUUGCCCUGCUGGUGGUUCCUUGUCUUCACUCCAAAAAUAUCUACAAUGUAUACCAAAACCUAACAUGCUUGAAGAUGUAGAAGAUCCUCGCUAUCCAUCCACCUUCGCAGCUUCUUUUGCCUCACAAUUACCUCUGUCACAAGCCCUAUCAAACACCGUGCCUGAUUAUGGUGCAGCUGACAGCACUGGGGACACUUUGCCUCAAUUGAAGAUGUUAUUCAACCCUUAGACACAACCACUUGCCUGUUAAUUACCUGCUAUGAAAGAAAUUACAUAUUGUGAAACCAAACAUGCUUGAAGAUGUAGGAGAUCCUUGCUAUCCAUCCACCUUCGCAGCUUCUUUUGCCUCACAAUUACCUCUGUAACAAGUCCUAUUAAACACCGUGCCUGAUUAUGGUGCAGCUGACAGCACUGGGGACACUUUGCCUCAAUUGAAGCUGUUAUUCAACCCUUAGACACAACCACUUGCCUGCUAAUUACCUGCUAUGAAAGAAAUUACAUAUUGGGAGCUACUAGCAAAGGAACAACUUCAACACUGCAUCAAAUGGCUCGACCAAAGUUAUCAGUGGAGCAAUAUUCACCUGGUUUCCCCAAAACAAAACAGCACAUCCCAAAGAAUGGUGAACUCCAGUUGAAAAGACAUGCGAUUUUGAAAUAACCAUGGUCAUUUCAGACAUCUUGCGGGAGAAUUAAAAGGGGCAAGAACAGUCAGUGAUUUAGAUACAUUUUACCAUCAGGAGCAUUCACUGCAUUGCACAGUAUGUAACUGAAUAGUUGGAGAGAAACUGGACUCUGUGUAACUAUACUAGACAUGACAAGUACAGAAGUACUAGCUAGUAAUGGACAAGGAAUUUUACUCACGUGAGCAGUUCAAAACCAAAUCCAAGUAAGUUUUCCUCAAGUGUAUCCAACCAGCCCUUCAAAUGCUGCACCUAGACCACAAGGCCAUCCAAAACUGCACCACUCCGACAAUUCUGGGAGUUACAGUCAGAUCUCAAAUGGAAUUUCCAAGUGUUUGAUAUGAUAUCAAGUGCCGGCAAGCGACUAUACAUUUACGACAUCUCAGAGUAUCAUGUGAAGAUCUAGCAGACAUCUUCUCGACAUAUAUCCGAUCUUCGCUAGAAUACGCUUCUCCAGUUUGGUCCACAUCAAUUUCCCGAACAGUUAUCUUGCAGUCUGAAGAAAGUGCAGAAACGUGUCUGCUGUAUUAUCCUUGGAUAAGAACAGUUGUAUGAAACCACUCGUUUCUCUCCAGAGUCUAACUUCUUGCCGUCUUGCCCUUCUUGAAUCCUUUUCUCUCAAACUGUUUAAGUCAUCACCAGAUCGAAUUAUGUUCUAUCGCCAACUCGUCGCCAAACCUCUUGCCAUGAACUAUGAAACUCUCUACACAAAUAACUAUACCCUAUUGUAGAACUGAGAGACACCGCACUUCAAUUAUUCCCUAUAUCGUACAACUCCUUAACAACCAACUGUGAUUUUAAUUAUCUUUGUCAUGUUUGUAUUUAUUUAUUUUUGCUUACCAUAUUAUUGUUUUUCAUUCUUCUCUUUUCCAUUCUUCAUUAUUUUAUCCUCCCCUCUCAUGUACUUUUUCUCCUUCUCUCUAAAUCAGCAAUUAAAGUACUUACAUGCAUUAUGAUUAUUAUUACAAUUUUGAUUAAUUACAAAAGAGUCAUCUCAGAAUGAAGUAUCUUUUUAAUCAAUCUUUUUAUUCAUUAUGUUUAGCUUGUAUUUAGGUUUUUCACACCAAUUAACCAAUGUAUCGGUUAUUACAGAAUUUUGAAAUCACAAUUAUAGGCAUGUAUUUUCUGAGGAGAGGGUGGUGUUGACUUUUUGUGACUGCUUUUAUUUGUGUUUGCGAUGGGAUUUCAUUUCUUUCAUUAACCAUUGUCGGUUUAAUUCAAAACUGUAUGAGUUUUAGAGCUCAAUAAGUAAUAAGUCUUAUUUAGGUAUCAACAAAAGCUUAUACUCUGAACAUAAUUGUUUAAAUAUAAGGUUAUACUAUUUACAAUUGCUAUACAAUUUCUUUUUGGAGCAUUUUUGGGGUACUAAAGUUCUUGCUAGAUGUUAACCCAAUUAAGCCAUGCGUAAACAAUUUUCAAUAUUAUUAUUCUACUCAAAGAAAAGAACGGGGUGAUUUUUUUCCUAUUUGUAUACCUUUUUUCCUGUGUUUGGUACUAAAUUUGUCAUUACAGGAAAUAUAUAUUUUUGAAGUCAUUGCCAAUUUUCAUGAGUUCGGCUCAUGGUCAAUUUUAGUUGAAUUGCCCACAUUCAAAUGUAUACAAUUCUUUAAAAUCAUAUUGAUUUUAUUUUGGCAUGUAUUCUUGGGUAGCAAAAAUACACCCAUCACAUUAGGUAAUUAAGCUAAGGGUAAUUGCUGGUAAAUUUUCGAAUUCUCUGGUGUGCAAGUUUUAUAUAAUCUCUCUAUCUUUUAUGAGGGAAAAGGUUAAACAAAUACCUACAGUCUUCUCAGAAAAUACAUAGUGCAUGUACAGUGUAAGUUUAACUUAAAUAAUUGAUAUUCCUGUUAUAGGCAGUUUAAGACUUGUCAACUGAUAUCUUGUCAUGAUCUUGGUUUUUUGAUAAUUAAUCGGUAGUGUUAAUAGUUUAGCAUGGGUUGAGUUACUGAGAGGGCACUGAUGUCAUGGGGGGGGGGGCUGCUGCUCUUAUUAAUUGAAUUAAUUGUUUAGACAGAUAACUGGAAUCUCAAGUUGGAGCAUAUGUGGGAGGGGUCGAUCAUGUUGCAUUCCUUUACUUUUCUUUUCACUCCUUGAUGGGAUGUCACAUAUCAUUUCAGAUACCCCUCCCCCCCCCCUAUAGGUAUUCCUCUCAAGCAAAUCAAUCGAUAGAGGAAUGUGUAAUUGGGUUAGUUCAGCAAUUACAUAAUGAUGCCUUUUGUCUCAAAUUUUCAGACUUGUUGGAUUGGAUAGGAAAGGAUCUUAAAGUAGUGUAGUUAUUUUGGCUCUAUGUUCUCCAGUUUCGCUCUGAUGAGUGCGAGGUUAUGUCUUUUGUAUGUCUUUUUUGAGAGGCAUGUGCAUUAGUCUUUUCUCUCUUUCAUAGUAUCAACUUGUAUUGACAUCUUUAUAUUAAUUGCAAUCAUGAGAUGUGUAAUAACGAGUACAUUUGUAGGUUCUAUUAUAAUUUGUUUUUUUCUUUGGUGAUGGAUCCUUUCUCUGAAUGCAAUUUGUACUUUAUUUGCCUGUAUAAACAUCUAUGUGUUUUUACAUUUGUUGUUGUUCAGCUACCCUAAAUACCCGACGUUAUAUUAUUACCAAGAAUGUGUUUCUUCUAACAAUAUUGACAGAAGAAUUAUAUCUUUAAUAAACGAUUUUAUCAGUAUUGUACUACAUGUACUUCAAACUGGAUGAGAUUUAUUCUUUUGCAA
This 3744-nucleotide long non-coding RNA is filed under the name Strongylocentrotus purpuratus (purple sea urchin). Its description in RNAcentral is "uncharacterized LOC115919848". Lineage: Eukaryota; Metazoa; Echinodermata; Echinoidea; Camarodonta; Strongylocentrotidae. The record is from RNAcentral.